Molecule: transfer RNA, 77 nt
Filed under: Firmicutes bacterium ADurb.Bin506
Lineage: Bacteria; Bacillati; Bacillota
Also listed under: 1 other name
Description: tRNA-Arg
Rfam family: tRNA
About the family: Transfer RNA (tRNA) molecules are approximately 80 nucleotides in length. Their secondary structure includes four short double-helical elements and three loops (D, anti-codon, and T loops). Further hydrogen bonds mediate the characteristic L-shaped molecular structure. tRNAs have two regions of fundamental functional importance: the anti-codon, which is responsible for specific mRNA codon recognition, and the 3' end, to which the tRNAs corresponding amino acid is attached (by aminoacyl-tRNA synthetases). tRNAs cope with the degeneracy of the genetic code in two manners: having more than one tRNA (with a specific anti-codon) for a particular amino acid; and 'wobble' base-pairing, i.e. permitting non-standard base-pairing at the 3rd anti-codon position.
Source: RNAcentral
GCGCCCGUAGCUCAGUCGGAUAGAGCGCUGGACUUCGAAUCCAUAGGUCGCAGGUUCGAGCCCUGCCGGGCGCGCCA